This 468-nucleotide ribosomal RNA is filed under the name uncultured bacterium. RNAcentral describes it as "partial 16S ribosomal RNA". It matches the Rfam family "Bacterial small subunit ribosomal RNA", at positions 28 to 507 of the family's 1533-position model. The record is from RNAcentral.
GACGAACGCUGGCGGCGUGCUUAACACAUGCAAGUCGAACGGAAAGGCCCUGCUUUUGUGGGGUGCUCGAGUGGCGAACGGGUGAGUAACACGUGAGUAACCUGCCCUUGACUUUGGGGUAAAUUCAGGAAACUGGGGCUAAUAUCCGAUAGGAGCUCCUGCAGCAUGGUGGGGGUUGGAAAGUUUCGGCGGUGGGGGAUGGAAUGGCGGCUUACGGGCUUGUUGGUGGGGUAGUGGCUUACCAAGGCUUUGACGGGUAGCCGGCCUGAGAGGGUGGCCAGCCACAUGGGUACUAAGAGAGGGCCCAGUAGCGUAUGUGGGGCAGCAGGGGGGAGUAUUGCGCAGUGGGCGGGAGCCGGAUGUGGAAACGCCGCGUGCGGGAAGCCGUCCUUUUGGUUGAAAACCGCUGUCGCCUGUGACAAAGCGGGAGUGACGGUAAUGGGUAAAGAAGCACCGGCUAACUACGUG